This 229-nucleotide long non-coding RNA is filed under the name Elaeis guineensis (African oil palm). RNAcentral's name for it is "long non-coding RNA (EGUI_LNC044437)". Lineage: Eukaryota; Viridiplantae; Streptophyta; Magnoliopsida; Arecales; Arecaceae. The record is from RNAcentral.
UUUAUAUCUAUCAAAAAGUGGACUGCUGGGGAUACUAUAGCUCUAAGAAAUGAAAUUUAGCAUCCUAAGAGAGUGGGUUAAGGUAAUCCUAAGAUGAAGGUCUAAGUUGGCUAGAUGGAGAAGGUGGUCUAGUAUCUCCAAAUAACUGGCCCCAAAUAUCAACCCUCACUGAAGUGAUAGCCUGAAUCAUUCUCAUAGUCUCCUCUUUGAUAAAAAAUAAUGCCUACAU